CCUACGGGUGGCAGCAGUGAGGAAUAUUGGUCAAUGGACGAGAGUCUGAACCAGCCAAGUAGCGUGAAGGAUGACUGCCCUAUGGGUUGUAAACUUCUUUUAUAUGGGAAUAAAAUGUUCCACGUGUGGGUUUUUGUAUGUACCAUAUGAAUAAGCAUCGGCUAACUCCGUGCCAGCAGCCGCGGUAAUACGGAGGAUCCGAGCGUUAUCCGGAUUUAUUGGGUUUAAAGGGAGCGUAGGUGGGUUGUUAAGUCAGUUGUGAAAGUUUGCGGCUCAACCGUAAAAUUGCAGUUGAAACUGGCAGACUUGAGUACAGUAGAGGUGUGCGGAAUGCGUGGUGUAGCGGUGAAAUGCUUAGAUAUCACGAAGAACUCCGAUUGCGAAGGCAGCUCACUGGACUGCAACUGACACUGAGGCUCGAAAGUGUGGGUAUCAAACAGGAUUAGAUACCCUAGUAGUC
This 460-nucleotide ribosomal RNA is filed under the name uncultured bacterium. RNAcentral describes it as "partial 16S ribosomal RNA". It matches the Rfam family "Bacterial small subunit ribosomal RNA", at positions 338 to 795 of the family's 1533-position model. The record is from RNAcentral.